UCGUCGGUGGCACAAAUGAUUUGCACUUGGCUGCUAACCAGAAGGUUGGUGGUUUGAAUCCACCCAGGGGAA
RNAcentral lists this transfer RNA (72 nucleotides) under Loxodonta africana (African savanna elephant). It matches the Rfam family "tRNA". Rfam says of the family: Transfer RNA (tRNA) molecules are approximately 80 nucleotides in length. Lineage: Eukaryota; Metazoa; Chordata; Mammalia; Proboscidea; Elephantidae. The record is from Rfam by way of RNAcentral.